GUCAAACGGCUGAACCAGCAACUUGAAGGAAUGGAAAGUUUUCGUUACGAAAACUAAUACUUUUGUGUAAAAUUCUAGGUAUAAUAUUGAUAGAGACAAUUUUAUACCUAUGUGUCUUGACCAAAUCACGUGCCAGCAGUCGCGGUAACACGUGGAAGACUAGUGUUAUUCAUCUUUAUUAGGUUUAAAGGGUACCUAGACAGUAUAUUUAGCCUAAAUAAGGUACAAAUAUACUAGAGUUUUAUAUGAGAAGGUAGAAUUUUUGGAGUAGUGAUAAAAUACGACAAAACUAAAAAGACUGUUAACGGUGAAGACAACCUUCUAUCUAAAAACUGACGUUGAGGGACGAAGGCUUGGGUAACGAUAAGGAUUAGAUACCCUAGUAGUCCAAGCAGAAAAUUAUGAAUGCCAUAGACUAGAAAGUUUAGUCUAUAAAUGAAAGUGAAAGCAUUCCACCUUAAGAGUAAUGUGGCAACACAGAAACUUAAAUCAUUAGACCGUCUCUGAAACCAGUAGUGAAGUAUGUUAUUUAAUUCGAUGACCCGCGAAAAACCUUACCACAAUUUGUAUAUUAUUUAUUUAAUACAGGUGCUGCACGGCUGUCUUUAGUUAAUGUCGUGAGAUUUUGGUUAGUUCCAUUAAUUAACGUAAACCCUUGUUUUAUUUUAUUAUAAAAUAGCUCUGCCAUUAUAUCGGUAAGUUAACAGGGAUCAAGACAAGUCAUCAUGGCCUUAAUAUUGUGGGCUAUAGACG
RNAcentral lists this ribosomal RNA (753 nucleotides) under Rhopalophora clavispora. Its description in RNAcentral is "SSU rRNA". It matches the Rfam family "Bacterial small subunit ribosomal RNA", at positions 374 to 1222 of the family's 1533-position model. Lineage: Eukaryota; Fungi; Ascomycota; Eurotiomycetes; Sclerococcales; Dactylosporaceae. The record is from RNAcentral.